Triticum aestivum (bread wheat) is the source of this 115-nucleotide non-coding RNA. Lineage: Eukaryota; Viridiplantae; Streptophyta; Magnoliopsida; Poales; Poaceae. The record is from Rfam.
AUAAUACUCCCUCCAUUCGGAAUUACUUGUCACAAAAAUGGAUGUAUCUACAACUAAAAUACAUCUAAAUAAAUUCAUUUCUUGGACGAGUAAUUCUGAACGGAGGGAGUAGUUU